This 255-nucleotide ribosomal RNA is filed under the name uncultured bacterium. RNAcentral describes it as "partial 16S ribosomal RNA". It matches the Rfam family "Bacterial small subunit ribosomal RNA", at positions 524 to 776 of the family's 1533-position model. The record is from RNAcentral.
UACGUAGGGUGCAAGCGUUAAUCGGAAUUACUGGGCGUAAAGCGUGCGCAGGCGGCUUUGCAAGACAGAUGUGAAAUCCCCCGGGCUUAACCUGGGAACUGCAUUUGUGACUGCAUGGCUAGAGUGCGGCAGAGGGGGAUGGAAUUCCGCGUGUAGCAGUGAAAUGCGUAGAUAUGCGGAGGAACACCGAUGGCGAAGGCAAUCCCCCUGGGCCUGCACUGACGCUCAUGCACGAAAGCGUGGGGAGCAAACAGG